UAUCGGGCUACCAAAAAAUUUUGCGUCUCCUAAUUGCUUGCAUUCAGUUGCAACAUUUAAGCCAACUCUAUCUUGAUUGUCCACUCCAUGAAUUGGCGCCUCCAACAAAUUCAAGCAAUGGGAGCACUGCAUUACAAGUAUCGAAUCUUCAAAUUAGUUGUUCCCAUUCAGAAUCAAAUUUCUUUCCAAUAUCUAGUUUCUUUAUCAUGUUUAACUCCUCCGCUAGUUUGCUUCAUUUAAAUUGGUAAGGAGAGCAAAUAAAAAAAGAAAAAUGGAUGAAGAAAGUAAAGUCGCCGUUUUUGAGACAAUACCCUGUUUUCAUAAAGUUUUGCCAAAAUAGCUCAUUUGGUAUUCUUUUUUUCACUUAAAUUGGUAUUCUUCAAUUUUUGUUUUCUAUUCCUCUGUUGUCUCAGCAACCAAACUAUGUAUGGAGAGAGAGAGACGCAUGCGCAUGAGGAGAUUGAGUCAGAGCAAUGAAUGUGUGGAAUGAAUGAAGUUGGGACUGUACUUUUGCCUUUUGUCUGGUAAUUUUCUUUUGGGCUUUUCCAUGUUUGCAGCAUUGGAGCCUUACCACCCACUAUUGAUGCUACAAUGACACACAGCUCCAUCCAACAUUUGAUUGAGAACAAGUUUGUGCAGGGCAACCCAAGUAUUGAAUGCCGCAUCAAACCAGGUAAAUUCGAAUUGAGAACUCAUGAUAUUGAGCCACAAUUCGGGUAGUUUCAGGUAUCGAGAAAGCAGGGCAACUCAACUAUUCCAAGCAGUUUCAGAUGGGAAAAGAUAUUGAAGUUUCAUGUAGCAGUGAGAGAACAUUCAAGCACUUGUGCAGCAGCGGGAGGAAACAACUCUGGGGGGCCAUCAUAUUUGCCAAAACAUGUCAACUCCAUUCAAUGCAUCCAAAUCAGAGUGAAGAAACUCUUCCAGUAAUCACUGAAGCAGUCAACAGAAAACUGGAUAAGUUGAUCAUUGAAGGAGAUUUUCUAGUGCUAACCACAGCAUUUCAAAAGCUCCCCCAUAAACUUCGUUUCUCAUAGACCAUAUAUGUUGAUACCAAUCACUGUCAUUCGCUAAUUGCGGGAAUUUCCACCUACAAAAACUCAUGAUAUCUCAGUUGGAGUUGUUUUAGCUAUAAUUUAUUCUGAGGGGUUCUAGCUGAGUAUUCAUAUCAAGAGCAUUUACAUAAUUUCAAGAUGAUCCCAGGCAUUUGGAGAACGUACGUUGGACCUGAUUUAGAACAAGUUAGUGCAGGGUAACCUAACUAUUUCAGGCAGUUUCAGUAGCUUUAGUACUUGUGCCAAGUUUGAAUGUGACCUGCAGUGCUAGUAUAUGUAUGGUUUUGGUGUUGGUUUUGGUCUGAGUUUUGCAGCAUUUGUGUAAUCUGGCAAAGGCAUUUAAAUCUUAGAUAUCAAGCUAGUGGCUUUACUCUGCAAGACCUCUUUUUCAUUAUUUUUGCUAAUGAUACUGUCAAUUUGUAUAUGCAAUUCUGGCUAUUGAG
Long non-coding RNA from Juglans regia (Persian walnut), 1495 nucleotides. RefSeq lists it as uncharacterized. Lineage: Eukaryota; Viridiplantae; Streptophyta; Magnoliopsida; Fagales; Juglandaceae. The transcript is spliced from 3 exons. The record is from RefSeq and is a predicted model, not a curated record.